This 208-nucleotide unclassified non-coding RNA is filed under the name Astragalus alpinus. The record is from RNAcentral. Lineage: Eukaryota; Viridiplantae; Streptophyta; Magnoliopsida; Fabales; Fabaceae.
AUCGUUGCCCGAUGCCUAUUGCAGUGCAAUAGGAAUUUCUAGGGCGAAUGAUGGCUUCCCGUGAGCUUAGUUGCCUCACGGUUGGUUGAAAAUUGAGUCCUUGGUAGGGUGUGCCAUGAUAGAUGGUGGUCGAGUUCGCACGAUACCGAUCAUGUGCAUGCUCCCCAAAAUAUGGCCUCUAUGACCCACACGUGUCUUUUGACGCUCA